Molecule: transfer RNA, 73 nt
Filed under: Stigeoclonium helveticum
Lineage: Eukaryota; Viridiplantae; Chlorophyta; Chlorophyceae; Chaetophorales; Chaetophoraceae
Description: tRNA-Ile
Rfam family: tRNA
About the family: Transfer RNA (tRNA) molecules are approximately 80 nucleotides in length.
Source: RNAcentral
GCACUUUUGGCUGAUCGGUUUAAGCAAACGACUCAUAAUCGUUCUUAGGUAGGUUCAAUUCCUACAGAGUGUA